This is a long non-coding RNA of Lucilia sericata (common green bottle fly), 8351 nucleotides long. RefSeq lists it as uncharacterized. The transcript is spliced from 4 exons. NCBI's taxonomy places the organism in Eukaryota, Metazoa, Arthropoda, Insecta, Diptera, Calliphoridae. The record is from RefSeq and is a predicted model, not a curated record.
AACGGAAGUAAAAGACCUGGACCUUAAUGAUGACUCAGGUUCUUGGAAUUCAAGUGCCCUUGAGAAGGACGAACCGAAGGGAAGAAAACACCACUGAAAUGCAAAAAAAAAAAAUCGGAGAAAUUCAUGGAAUUGGCGACUAUAUUACAACAACAAGAUCGUGAGAGACAAAUGAGGCGAUGAAGCAGACAAUCCGAGUGAGUGUAAAGUAAAUAAAAAUAUUUUUUAUAUAUGUAUACUAGAUAUAUAUUAGAAUAUAAGUCAAGGUAGUUAGACAGCUAGUUUAAGUCGGACUUCAUAGGUUAAUUUCCAAUAUUAGCGCAGAAUUCGGUGGUAAUAACAAGACAAAGUUUAGAAAAUUAUGAAACAAGGUCCUAAACUCCUUGUUAUUGCCACUGAACUCAAAAGAAUUGUGUUUAGAAUAGUUACGGACUAUAUCCCAACCAAAACUGACGUAUCUGUACUAUCGAUCAUUUAUUUCCCAGCUAGUGACAAUCUGCUUACGGAGUGAACAACUACAUGUUGAUCUUCCAACUUGUAUUGUCCCAAUUGUUUACUUUGGUAUCGGCUCGCUGUAAGAUCAGACUCAGAAUUGUGUUAUUACCCUAGGUGACUAAUAACCCUUACGCUUUUGAUGGCACGGUACCAGAAGGCUUUGAUGGGGUUGCACCUACUAAUAGGGUAAUGACCGGUUACACAUGUAACCAGCUAAGAAACGUUGGCUUUAAGUCGAUCCAACAAAUAAUUACUCAUUCCAAAGUAGCUAUGGAUCUCACUGGACUACGAUAUAAAUGAAAGAUAUGUACAGAACUCAGUACUGCUUAGGAUAUAUCAACAGCUAUGCCAAACAGAAAUUCCCUGCCAAUAAAGAAAAGACUAAGAUUAAUAUAAAGACUCGACAAUACAGACUUAAAGAUAGGUACACCAUUAGGUACAAAUUGGACGACUACUAGACGCUGUCAACCGGUAGAUAUUCAGGAAGAAAUGUUAGGACUAGAACCACCAAAGAUAUUGAAGCUAUUGCUUCAAAUCUUUGGCGUGAAAAACCCCUAACGAUUUCCCCUGAACAUCCUCGACCUCGUAUAUGGACUGUUUGACGCGCUCGGACGCAUUAGCUUGCGGUGAGUGGGUUGCAGUCCGAACAUGUUUAACCCCAAAACUACUAAUCAUGUCGGCAAACUCUUUGCUAACAAAUUGUUUUCCAUUAUCAGAAACGAUAGUUUCUGGUGUUCCAAAUUUAUGGAAAACUUCAGCAAUUAGAAACUUUACCACAUUCUUGGUGCUGGCUUUAGGCAAGGCCUUCAAAAAAACAAACUUAGUUAAAUGAUCUAAAACGAUAAAAAUAUAAACGUUUCCGUUUUUCGACCAUGGGUACGGACCAAGAAAGUCUAUAAAAAUGCGUUGGAAAGGUCGUUCUGACUGUACUUCGGAACCCAUUGGUGGUCUGAGCGUAGAAUUCGCGGGUUUCGAUUCUUUACAAAUUUGGCAGUUUAACACAAAAUUUCUUGUCUGAACAUUUUGAUUUGGCUUGUGGGGAAUUAUGACACUCAUUAAUUAUAUUUUGGGUUAACUCUGAAGGUACCCACAACUUCCACGCGAAAUCUUCACUAAUGGCUACACCGUCAUAAUGCCUGGUCCGUUUGUAGACAAAACCGUCGACCACUUUCAAAUCGGGUAAUUGCUCCGAAUUCUUCUCGACCGUAUCAAUUAAGCUUAGGUAAUCUUCCGACUGAAAUGCUUCCGACUUCAAAUCUACAAGUUUAGAUACUUUUAGUGAGAUUUCGUCCAUAUCAUAACGCGAUAGGGUAUCGGGUACUACAUUUUCCUUCCCCUGCCUAUGUUCAAUUUCGAAAUCGUACGCCUGUAAAUUUACUCCUGUAAAUGGCAUCAAUUCUAUAUAGGCCCUAAACUUCUUAAUCGCCAAGACAACUGCCAAACAUUCACGUUCAGUGACUGAAUAAUUUUUCUGCGCUGGGGUCAGCUUAUGCGAGAAAUAGGCUAUUGGGUGCUCUCCCUCAGAAUCAUCUUUCUGAAAAAGAACCGCUCCAAUGCCUAAGUCUGAUGCGUCACACUGAACAUAGAAACGCUUGGAGAAGUCUGGGUGAUUAAGAAGUGGGCUCGUAGUCAGAGCUUUCUUGAGGCGAUCAAAAGCAACCUUAGCUUUUUCGGUAAACUUGAAUUGUUUACCCUUCUUCAGCGUUUCAAAGAUUGGGACCGCAAUGGUAGCAUAGUCUGGUAUAAAUUUUCUAUACCAGCCUGUUGCUCCCAUGAAGCUCCUCACCUCUCUUGCUGUCUUAUGGUAUACAAAACGAGUAAUCGUUUCCACUUUGGCCGGGUCCGGUUUUAAUUUGCCGCCACCAACAAUAUACCCAAGAUAUUUUAACUCCUUAAAACAAAACUUGGAUUUAGCAACAUUGAUGGUCAAACCUGCCUCUGCUAGACAAAUAGAUACCCGCUUCAACAAUUCCAGAUGUGUCUCGAAUUCUGGAGAUACUAUCAAUAGAUCAUCUAAGUACACGAAAACUCUUUCACGAAGUGCCGCGGGCAUCACUUUAUCCAUUAACCGACAUAACCUUUGAGCUGCAUUACACAACCCAAAAGGCAUGACCGUAAAUUGAUAAAGUGGUCGUCCAGGUACCGUAAAAGCAGUUUUUUCCCUACUAGAUGACUCUAGUGGUAUCUGCCAGAACGCGUCUUUUAGGUCGACACUCGAAAUAUAGAUUGUAUCUCCCAAUCGACUGAGCAAACCUUCAAUGUGCGGCAAUGGAUAUGCAUCCUUGACUGUCAGCGCAUUGUGUUUACGCGCGUAAACACCGAUUCUUCUCGCCCCUUCGUACGAGAGUAACCGGGUGACUCCAUGGACUUUCGCUAAGCUCAAUAACACCUAAGUCCAGCAUCCUGUCCAACUCCGCAUACAUUAACUUUUGCACCGCCGGGGAUACAGGGUAAUAUCUAUCUUUCACUGGAAUUGCAUCACGGGUGUCUAUUGCAUGCGUUUCUAAAUGCGUUUUACCAGGGCCCUUCUUAGUAUAGCAGGGGAACAUAGCAAUUACCAAAUCCAAUCUUUGUCGCUGUUCAUCAUCCAACUUGUGAGUUUUAAUAUCUUGGGUCUCUUCUUCAUCUUCGCAAAGAUUAAUACCAUUCGUCGUGAGACUUCCUAUAUUUGCGAACAAAUUAAAAGCCUUCAUGAAAUCGACUCCCAAGAAUAACUCGCGACUCAGAGUAGGGACUAAAUAGAAAUUGAUAUCAUGUGACAUACCACGAAACACAACGUUGACUUUCACACGACCGACUAUAGGGUGUUCUGUUCCAUCCGCCGUUUUUAUAUUGGUAUGAAAAUCGUGGAUGGUUAGACCGGUCUUCUGUAUGAAACUCAUACAAUUACGCUGUCCAACAAUCCCUCGAUUUCCUGUCCAUUUAUAGAAAUCCUAGUAUAAAAACGCGAAUCAUCACCCUCUAUUAACGACGCGGCCGAAAUUUCCCGCCUAAGACUUUUUUUCGCUUAUACCUUUCGCGUGCUUUCUUUAUCCUACUCGAAACGUUACCGAAAAUUCUCGAUCUUGCCUGAUUAUAUUCUUGCACCCUAAUAUGUAAAGGUUUUAUCUCUCUGAGCCGAGGCUCAGGACUUGCCUCUACUUUUGCUUCAACCCUUUUCAAAAUUUUAUCUUGCUCUCUCUCUUCACUCGUUGCCGCAGAUCUUUGACUAACUGGGCCUAAACUUCCGUUGACCUCGCCUCCCCAGUUCGAGACGGGUUCCGGGACCGGUUUCUCUGACAUCUAGGACACUUCGGUGUAACUACAUUGUCCAUUCCACAUUUAAAACAGAAAAUUCUACGCGUGGGCGAAGGACAAUCAAAAAAACCGUGACCAACCAUCUUGCAGUUCCAUCAGGUGUAUUUACUCGUGUUCCGCAUUGCGUCCACUUCCAGAAUAGGCACCACAUCUUUUUCUUCUGGUGUAAUCUCAAUCUCAUUUACCCUUGUGAAACUAGGACGCUGUUGAUAACUUUGCCUCUGGUUAGCCAACAAGUUCUCUGCCCUCUUGACCUCGUGACAAAACUCGGUUAAACUGUUUAUUCGAAUGGGAAACAUCAACUGGGCCAAAGCUGGCUUAAGGUUACCCCUAAUGAUAUCAAUUAACGAUCUCUCAUCAUACGGGACUUUUUGCUGAUGGCGUAGCUUAAGUAUGACAUUAUAAAACUCUUCAAAUGACUCAUGAGGUAACUGGCGGCGAUUGAGUAUUUGCAUUUGUACCUGAAACUCAUUCUCAAAACGCUGAUAUUGGGACAAGAUAGCACUUUCCAGGUCCCGCCAAGAGUUAAUUUGCGCCAAUUUGCGAUGGUUCCAAUACCAGUCUAAAGCUGGUCCUUCCAGUAAGUUAUGGAAAUGGCGUAAAAUAUCCAUGUCCGAGCAGUUGUAAUCUUUUUUCAGCUCGUUUACUCGAAAAAUAAACUCUUGAGCAUUCAUGGACUUACUGGUUCCAUCAAAUCUCAUACCCCACUUAGACAAAUUCAUUCGCUGAUGAUUUUCCAUACCAAUUGACACUGGCCAAGCAUAAUUAGGAGCUAGUCCAAAGCUAUUUUGCUGUUGUAGUGGUGGUUGAUGAUAGCUAUACCCUUGUUGUUGUUGUUGGUUGUAACAUUGCUGUUGAUGGUUGUAGGCUUGUUGUUGUUGGGUGUAGGCUUGUUGUUGACCAACCCUCGGGGUAUUGAUCGGAGUCUGAUUCAUUGGCUGUUGUUCAAAAUAUCUGGUCUGGUUAAGAUUAGGCUCUGGGAAAUCUGUCUGAUUCCUCCGCUGUAUAUCAUUAGCCAUAUAAUAUGGUGCUGGAAAUAAAGGUGGCGGUGGAUUUGACCAAGGCCCCUGAGCUAUAGCUGGCUGUGUUUGGGUAUACAUGACGGCUGUCACUUCUCUUCCGCCCAUAUUACCGUGAGGAUAUGAUACUUGCGACACCACAGGUGCCACUAGACUCCUAGUCACUGGAGGUAAUGGGUUUGUUUGUGUCACUGCGCCGGUUAAGGUGUAAUCUCAAUCUCAUUUACCCUUGUGAAACUAGGACGCUGUUGAUAACUUUGCCUCUGGUUAGCCAACAAGUUCUCUGCCCUCUUGACCUCGUGACAAAACUCGGUUAAACUGUUUAUUCGAAUGGGAAACAUCAACUGGGCCAAAGCUGGCUUAAGGUUACCCCUAAUGAUAUCAAUUAACGAUCUCUCAUCAUACGGGACUUUUUGCUGAUGGCGUAGCUUAAGUAUGACAUUAUAAAACUCUUCAAAUGACUCAUGAGGUAACUGGCGGCGAUUGAGUAUUUGCAUUUGUACCUGAAACUCAUUCUCAAAACGCUGAUAUUGGGACAAGAUAGCACUUUCCAGGUCCCGCCAAGAGUUAAUUUGCGCCAAUUUGCGAUGGUUCCAAUACCAGUCUAAAGCUGGUCCUUCCAGUAAGUUAUGGAAAUGGCGUAAAAUAUCCAUGUCCGAGCAGUUGUAAUCUUUUUUCAGCUCGUUUACUCGAAAAAUAAACUCUUGAGCAUUCAUGGACUUACUGGUUCCAUCAAAUCUCAUACCCCACUUAGACAAAUUCAUUCGCUGAUGAUUUUCCAUACCAAUUGACACUGGCCAAGCAUAAUUAGGAGCUAGUCCAAAGCUAUUUUGCUGUUGUAGUGGUGGUUGAUGAUAGCUAUACCCUUGUUGUUGUUGUUGGUUGUAACCUUGCUGUUGAUGGUUGUAGGCUUGUUGUUGUUGGGUGUAGGCUUGUUGUUGACCAACCCUCGGGGUAUUGAUCGGAGUCUGAUUCAUUGGCUGUUGUUCAAAAUAUCUGGUCUGGUUAAGAUUAGGCUCUGGGAAAUCUGUCUGAUUCCUCCGCUGUAUAUCAUUAGCCAUAUAAUAUGGUGCUGGAAAUAAAGGUGGCGGUGGAUUUGACCAAGGCCCCUGAGCUAUAGCUGGCUGUGUUUGGGUAUACAUGACGGCUGUCACUUCUCUUCCGCCCAUAUUACCGUGAGGAUAUGAUACUUGCGACACCACAGGUGCCACUAGACUCCUAGUCACUGGAGGUAAUGGGUUUGUUUGUGUCACUGCGCCGGUUAAGAAUUCCGGACCUCCACCCUGAGCCACCUGCAAUGGCACCGUCGGAUCUAAACUUGCUGCGACAUCGUGUUGUUGCUGGUGGUUUAUACCCAAUGCCCGCUUAAUUUCCAUUAAAGCAUCGUUGAUUUUAUUAUCUACUUGCCUCAUAAAUUGCGCCUGGGAAAGACCGAUAGAAGCGUUGACCACUUCCUGUAUGUUGGCACUUUGAUUCCGCUGGUUGGCCAGACUCUCUCGGACUUCGCGGCGAACGUUUUGAGCUGUAAGGCUACUGUAUUCUGGCGACCUAAUCGUGGAAUUCGAGUCGUCUGAACUAAUAGAGACCUCGUGAGGCAAUACUGGUGCUGUUGACGUGGCUGUUGUGGUAGGCCCACCUGCAGUGAGAGCGUCUGUAGUACGAGUUACACCUGCUUCAGUAGUUGCCAUGUUGCUGCUGGUUGGUAAAUUACUUGAAAUUCUACUACCGGAACGAGUUACAACCAUAAUCCACCAAAAACUCAACGAAAAUUCAAAUUAUUAGAAAAAACGUGACAAAUUAUUACCUUUCUUUGAACUACCGCCGAAGAUAACAACAAAAAAUAUUUAUAACGAAAAUUCAAAAAAAUAAAAAAAAAAUAAUAUGCCAAAUAAUAACCACAGCGAUUAAUAAAAACAAAAGAUUUCCAGUACUAACGGAAUUCACACUAAUACCGAACUAUCUUCGAAUAUUAACUAUUUCAAAAUGUAUUAUAAACUUCUAUACAUAAGUGAUUGGGGUUCAAUCAUAGCGUGAGUGAGUAGGUUUACAAAACAAUUGUCGAUUAUUCUUGAUCUAUGUAAAGUUAAGUAUAAUUUAGUUGUAAACUUUGGUGUUUCCUAACGGCCUUUACAGAUUGAAAUUUACUAUAUGGACAAACUUAAGUACUGCGACUGAAAACUGAAAUAUUAUUUUCUUACCUUUUUCCAGGACUAGUCCUAAGUCUGUAAGCAAAACUAUUUAAACAAAAUUUUACUUUUCUUCUCCCUUGAGCAGUUAAAUCAGCCACUUAACAUAAAACUAAUUAAGACUCUGGGAUUAGAAAUUUUAUAUGUACUUGGAUUUAAGAAUGUAUGGCUAUUAUAUCUAAUCCCCCUGAGAAUUUAAUAGAUAUAAGACUUAUACAUCGUAAAUACAAGUAGAAAAUAAUAAAUGAAAUUUACUUGGGCUAUGGAAUUUAAUGAAACUUUUUGUUGGCUUUACAUAUUAGGCGAUUAACCAUACUUCUAAUGUACUAAAUGCUUAAGAGUCUAACAAUAAAGCUAACAAAAAGAUAUGUUUUUGCCAAGAAGAUGUCGCAACGCGUUACGGACUCUUAUUUGACGUGAACGGGACUUACACUACUUAGGCAAAAACAUAACACUAACAAGUAUGGACGUACUCACUUCGGGCCCCACGUUGGGCGCCAUUCUGUACUGGCCAGGAUUAUGAAAAUUGAAAGCAAAACAAAUGCCGAAACAUCUGUUGCGGGUCAGUGUUGCCAAAUGUCGGCGGCGCUGGUAUUAUGGCUUACGCCGGGCUGAGGCUCGCCGGAUGGGGUGGUUCUUGCCGACACUGCAACUUUUCCUGGAUACAAAAACUCUAUAAAAUACCAGCAUUAUGUUUAAGUUGAAAGAAAAACAGAAGAAUUUAAAUUGAAAGGGACCCGAAGUGAGCAAACAUUCAUAAGACGAAUACACCAAAACAUUUAUCUAAAUUAUUCCUUUUCAGGCCAAGAAUAAUCAUUAUUGGCGGAUGGAGUUGCCAAUAUGUUGUUUCCCUCCCAGAGGUCUGAACCUACAACCGUAGCAACCUAGUCAUUUUAGCUGUCCCUAACUAUCCCUACCCACUCACAAUAAUUUCACCCCAAUCACUUACAUUGUAAACUUAGCAGCUCUCCAUAUUUGAGAUCUGGACUAUCGGGUGUUUACAGGGCAAUCAUUUGGAAGAAGGGUAGCGUAGGUUUUCAGUCUGUCCGUUAUCUGUCCUCGUUCGGUGUUUCGAAAUUACCUAAAAGGAAUUAACCGUCUAGUUCGUCCUGUCGUACGAGGUAAAAGUAAAUUUUCCUGGUCGAAAACCUGGUACCUGAAGCACCACCGGAUUGUUGGUGCUAAUCUGCCGAAGAAAGUCCCCCGUUGAGUGGAGCUGGCGAUGGCGUGGCUUGGUGUUGCUUAUUUUAAUUUGAAUUUUAUUUAGUUUUAAGUUUUCUUUGAUUCAGAUUUAAAGUUUACUUUACUGUAGUUUUAAACUUUUAGUUUUAAAAAUGCAUUCAAUUGUAGUUUA